This 369-nucleotide ribosomal RNA is filed under the name uncultured eukaryote. Its description in RNAcentral is "partial 18S ribosomal RNA". It matches the Rfam family "Eukaryotic small subunit ribosomal RNA", at positions 592 to 976 of the family's 1831-position model. The record is from RNAcentral.
CAAUAGCGUAUAUUAAAGUUGUUGCAGUUAAAAAGCUCGUAGUUGGAUUUCUGGCUGGGCGCCGAUGUGACACAAAGUGCUCACAAGGCACCGGCCAUCCUUCUGUAAACUAGGUUAGUCUUUGAUUAGACUGCUUAGGGAUCAGAUAAUUUACCUUGAGAAAAUUAGAGUGUUUCAGGCAGGCUUAGCCGGAAUACAUUAGCAUGGAAUAAUGGAAUAGGACUAUGGUCUCGUUGUUGGUUUGAGGGAUCGCAGUAAUGAUUAAUAGGGAUAGUUGGGGGCAUUAGUAUUUAUUAGCUAGAGGUGGAAUUCUCUAAUUUAAUAAAGACUAACUUAUGCGAAAGCAUUUGCCAAGGAUGUUUNCAUUAA